AUCUGCCACAAAGCUGGGUACGAGACACUUCAAGGUUGCCGUGUUGCCGCGCAAGACGAACUCGUCGAUGACCCUCGUCUCGUAGAAUUGCUGGACCACUGCAACGCGCAUCAACCCAGAGAACGUGAACCCGACACACGAAACCCGUAAAACAGAGUACUAAAGUAACAACGGGAUUGUAUUCGUGUCGUGUCCCGCUUCCCUUUCGUCCCAUCGGAAUUCGUUCGUUCGGGAAAAGGAAAUGAAACGUUGAAAUUGGAGCGAGGGGGAGAAACAGAAGCCCGUCUCCCUGGUUCGUAGGAGAGCUAUAUAAUGCCGGCGUGAGAGCCCCAGCGGAUGGUUCAUUAACCCUCGUCGCGUUGCCGCCGCCGUUCAACUGCCGCCAGACUGGACCGCGCCGGAAACCAGUCGUUACCACGUGCCACUUUGAACUUUUACCAAGUUUGUCGGGAAACGGAACGCCCCAGGAAGAGAAAAAAACUCGAGGGACCCAGUCCGGACGAUUCGGACAAAAGCAGAAGGAGAGCUACGACAAAGGAAACAGAAAAAAGGACAAGGACGAUGAACGUAGUACCGUAGUCGUUGGUUGGUCUGAAGGUCGAACCGUCGCUUCCCACCCAAGAGUCAACCGACACGAAUUCCGCGACGAAGCUGGGUAUGGUGCACUUCACGAUGGCUGCGUUUCCGCGUAUUACGUAUUCGGACACGACCUCCGCUUCGUAGUACUGAGUCACGACUAGAGAAAAUAGGAGCGCACGAUAUGAUUAUUAGCAUAACAAUGUUAAUAGAUCUGCCGGACCGUUUCUCUUUUACAUCGAUUACAGUCGAUCCCCGUAUCAUACGACGUUGACAAACGUAACUCGCUGCCAGCUUUUUUCAUCAUCCCUUUUAAAGCCUAUCCCCAAAGCCCUACCGUUCUUCUCGUCCGGAUUAAAAGAGUUUCCUUGAUCGUCCUGCCAGCCGACUACUUGAACGAACUCCGCGACGAAGCUCGGUAUGCUGCACUUGAGUAUAGCCGCGUUGCCGCGUAUCACGUACUCGUUGUUUACUUCGGACUGAUAAUACUGGUGUACAACUACAAUAAACGGAAGUGGCGAUAAUCAGCCGCGUUGUAAGCGAUGCGCGUCCGCUCGCGCGAUUCUUCCACGCACUCGAGGCGAUUAUCUACACAUGCACGGACUAUGCAAUGAAAUCUGAAAUGAACCAUAACAUUAUCGAUCUCAUUGUUCCCUGGAAACCAGUGUACGCUCGUCGUCGAUGUGGUUUUCGACCAAGUACGACGACAUAUGGAAAACAUGGG
Molecule: unclassified non-coding RNA, 1300 nt
Filed under: Bombus terrestris (buff-tailed bumblebee)
Lineage: Eukaryota; Metazoa; Arthropoda; Insecta; Hymenoptera; Apidae
Description: misc RNA ENSBTSG00005025873.1
Source: RNAcentral